GUCUUUAAAGAGACAUUUAUUUAGUCAUUUAUUUUAUGAAUGAGUGCUCAAUCUGCAUGUACAUCUUUAUGCCAUAAGAGAGCAUCCGAUCCCACUAGAGAUGGCUGUGAGCCACCAUGUGGUUGCUGGGAAUUGAGCUCAGGACCUCUAGAAGAGCAGCCUAUGCUCUUAACUAAUGAGUCAUCUCUCCAGCCCC
Peromyscus maniculatus bairdii (prairie deer mouse) is the source of this 196-nucleotide non-coding RNA. Lineage: Eukaryota; Metazoa; Chordata; Mammalia; Rodentia; Cricetidae. The record is from RefSeq and is a predicted model, not a curated record.